CACCCAAAAAAUGAUUUUUUGUUACUCGCGCAUUACCCCCUCUUCUUCUCAUUUCUGUCGUGUGCCCUAAAUCACCAAAUAAUAGUUUGUUUUUCUUAGUUGAAAUCCCCCAAAUUUCCCAUUUCCAACAAUACCAAUCAAUACACCUACACCAAUCACACUUCUUUUUCCUUUUCAUUUCACUGGACUGAAACCCUAGAUGAGAAGAAAUCCUAGAUGAGAAGAAAUCGGAGGAAGAGGAGUUGAAAGAUAAAGAAAUCGGAGGAGGGGGAGUAAGGAGGUUUUUGCGCUUUGUUUUCCCCCCUUUCUUUUACAUUGCCUUACUAAGAUGCCAUUGGCUGUUCGCUGAAAUAAAGAGAUAAAAAAAAAGGUUGAAGAAGGUGAAGAAUCUUUGUUUCAGUUUCUUUUUCUGUCUUUGCUUAACUAGAGUCAGUGUAUAAAGCAUCAGGGGGAAAAAGAUAAAUAUCAUAAGUCAUUCUAUGGGGGGUCUUCUAGUAAAAUGUUUCAUGGGCCUUCACAGUGAUGUUUUUGAGAAAUAUGUGAAGAACUAGAUUGCGAUUGCUGCACCUUUUCGGGGUGCACCUGGAUAUAUUGCUUCUACCUUCCUAAAUGGAGUGUCAUUUGUUGAAGGGUGGGAACAGAACUUUUUCAUUUCAAAGUGGAGCAUGCAUCAAUUAGAUUCACACUCAAGGAGCAAGAAACAUCUUAGCAACUCAUUGGGAUCGAGCAGUCAAAAGUCAGAAUCAAGUGACACACAAGAGCUAGAUUUGGAGCUUAAACUGUCACUGUAAUCAGUAAUUUUUUUGCUACUUUAAAUGCAUGCUCAUGGAACUACAUUUUAUGCUUUCCUAGAAUUGUAAGUUCAAAUAAGUUGAUAUGAACUAGUUUCAAUUUUUUUUAAAAAAAUUUCAAAGGAAUGUUAUGUAAUCAAAGGUAAUUUGACUUGCUGCAUGAGAUAUAGUGAAAAACAUUUAUCUUCUUGUUCA
Gossypium raimondii (Peruvian cotton) is the source of this 986-nucleotide long non-coding RNA. RefSeq lists it as uncharacterized. The record is from RefSeq and is a predicted model, not a curated record. The transcript has 4 exons. NCBI's taxonomy places the organism in Eukaryota, Viridiplantae, Streptophyta, Magnoliopsida, Malvales, Malvaceae.